This 503-nucleotide ribosomal RNA is filed under the name uncultured bacterium. RNAcentral describes it as "bacterial SSU rRNA". It matches the Rfam family "Bacterial small subunit ribosomal RNA", at positions 29 to 507 of the family's 1533-position model. The record is from RNAcentral.
AACGAACGCUGGCGGCGUGCUUAACACAUGCAAGUCGAACGAGAAAGUUCCCUUCGGGGGACGAGUAAAGUGGCGCACGGGUUAGUAACACGUGGACAACCUACCUCCGGGAGGGGCACAACCUGUCGAAAGACGGGCUAAUACUCCAUAAGACCACAGGAUCCUCGGAUCCAGGGGUCAAAGGUGGCCUCUACCUGUAAGCUAUUGCCUGGGGAUGGGUCCGCGCACCAUUAGCUUGUUGGUGAGGUAACGGCUCACCAAGGCCGAGAUGGUUAGUUGGUCUGAGAGGACGACCAGCAACACUGGAACUGAGACACGGUCCAGACUCCUACGGGAGGCAGCAGUGGGGAAUCUUGGACAAUGGGCGAAAGCCUGAUCCAGCGACGCCGCGUGAGUGAUGAAGGCCCUCGGGUUGUAAAGCUCUGUCAGCGGGAACGAAUAAAGGUGACCUAAUACGUCACCCGAUGACGGUACCUGCAAAGGAAGCACCGGCUAACUCUGUG